RNAcentral lists this ribosomal RNA (255 nucleotides) under uncultured bacterium. RNAcentral's name for it is "partial 16S ribosomal RNA". It matches the Rfam family "Bacterial small subunit ribosomal RNA", at positions 15 to 263 of the family's 1533-position model. The record is from RNAcentral.
GAUCCUAGCUCAAGACGAACGCUGGCGGCGUGCCUAACACAUGCAAGUCGAGCGGAGACAGUGAGUAGCUUGCUAUGAGCUGUUUUAGCGGCGGACGGGUGAGUAACGCGUGAGCAACCUUUCCCAGACAGGGGAAUAACACACCGAAAGGUGUACUAAUACCGCAUAAGACCACGGAAUCACAUGGUUCUGGGGUAAAAGAAUUAUCGGUUUGGGGUGGGCUCGCGUCCGAUUAGGUAGUUGGUGAGGUAACGG